Long non-coding RNA from Stomoxys calcitrans (stable fly), 357 nucleotides. RefSeq lists it as uncharacterized. The transcript has 2 exons. NCBI's taxonomy places the organism in Eukaryota, Metazoa, Arthropoda, Insecta, Diptera, Muscidae. The record is from RefSeq and is a predicted model, not a curated record.
AUUAGUUAAGUGGGAGUGCUUAGUGUGUGAUUCCAAACUCAACCGCAGCCAACCCCAAAAGUGAACAAAAGAAGGAUUCUCAGCACCAGUUUCACCAGAUCAGCAGUUAUGCAGAUCCCCGAAGAUCUGAGACAAAUGAAACUCCUACUGGCCUACUAAGUCCCAACAUAUUGAGUGUACAACACAUUAAUAGACACAAACGGGGCACAUUCACACUUCUCUCAUAAUCCCACCAUAGCCGUAAUCAACGACGCCUUUCUGCGCUAAGUUGGAAUUUUGCUGUGGCAUUUGCUGCUGAUACCACACACUACGCUAAUGCCCUUUAAAAUUUCAAAUAAAAGCAUAGUUCUUACCGUC